UUUGAAAUCUGGCGUCUUUGGCGUCCGAGUUGUAAUUUGAAGAAGGUAUCUUUGGGCCCGGCUCUUGUCUAUGUUCCUUGGAACAGGACGUCACAGAGGGUGAGAAUCCCGUGCGAUGAGAUGACCCGGGUCUGUGUAAAGUUCCUUCGACGAGUCGAGUUGUUUGGGAAUGCAGCUCUAAGUGGGUGGUAAAUUCCAUCUAAAGCUAAAUAUUGGCGAGAGACCGAUAGCGAACAAGUACAGUGAUGGAAAGAUGAAAAGAACUUUGAAAAGAGAGUGAAAAAGUACGUGAAAUUGUUGAAAGGGAAGGGCUUGAGAUCAGACUUGGUAUUUUGCAUGUUGCUCUCUCGGGGGCGGCCGCUGCGGUUUACCGGGCCAGCAUCGGUUUGGAGCGGCAGGAUAAUGGCGGAGGAAUGUGGCACGGCUUCUGCUGUGUGUUAUAGCCUCUGACGAUACUGCCAGCCUAGACCGAGGACUGCGGUUUUUAACCUAGGAUGUUGGCAUAAUGAUCUUAAGUCGCCCGUCUUGAAACACGGACCAAGGAGUCUAACGUCUAUGCGAGUGUUUGGGUGUAAAACCCGUACGCGUAAUGAAAGUGAACGAAGGUGGGGGCCCAUUAGGGUGCACCAUCGACCGAUCCUGAUGUGUUCGGAUGGAUUUGAGUAAGAGCAUAGCUGUUGGGACCCGAAAGAUGGUGAACUAUGCCUGAAUAGGGUGAAGCCAGAGGAAACUCUGGUGGAGGCUCGUAGCGGUUCUGACGU
This 761-nucleotide ribosomal RNA is filed under the name Candida albicans. RNAcentral's name for it is "eukaryotic LSU rRNA". It matches the Rfam family "Eukaryotic large subunit ribosomal RNA", at positions 114 to 892 of the family's 3401-position model. Lineage: Eukaryota; Fungi; Ascomycota; Pichiomycetes; Serinales; Debaryomycetaceae. The record is from RNAcentral.